AUUGAACGCUGGCGGCAGGCCUAACACAUGCAAGUCGAACGGUAACAGGAAGCAGCUUGCUGCUUUGCUGACGAGUGGCGGACGGGUGAGUAAUGUCUGGGAAACUGCCUGAUGGAGGGGGAUAACUACUGGAAACGGUAGCUAAUACCGCAUAACGUCGCAAGACCAAAGAGGGGGACCUUCGGGCCUCUUGCCAUCGGAUGUGCCCAGAUGGGAUUAGCUAGUAGGUGGGGUAACGGCUCACCUAGGCGACGAUCCCUAGCUGGUCUGAGAGGAUGACCAGCCACACUGGAACUGAGACACGGCCCAGACUCCUACGGGAGGCAGCAGUGGGGAAUAUUGCACAAUGGGCGCAAGCCUGAUGCAGCCAUGCCGCGUGUAUGAAGAAGGCCUUCGGGUUGUAAAGUACUUUGCAGCGGGGAGGAAGGCGAUAAGGUUAAUAACCUUGUUCGAUUGACGUUACCCGCAGAAGAGCACCGGCUAACU
RNAcentral lists this ribosomal RNA (486 nucleotides) under Enterobacter hormaechei. RNAcentral's name for it is "bacterial SSU rRNA". It matches the Rfam family "Bacterial small subunit ribosomal RNA", at positions 30 to 502 of the family's 1533-position model. The record is from RNAcentral. Lineage: Bacteria; Pseudomonadati; Pseudomonadota; Gammaproteobacteria; Enterobacterales; Enterobacteriaceae.